AAAACACAGUUUGAGUCUGAGCUGAGCAGUUCUGCGAAGCAAGUGUGUUUUAUCGGAAACAAGAAGCGGUAGCCGGUGUCUGUGUGUGGUUCCUGUGGAGCGCGGGGUUACAGUUGAAGCAGUCGAGAACUGUGGACAAUUUUACUGGGGAGGUCAGCACUAAGAGAGAAUGAUCAGAUUGAAGCCGAGUUGGAUCGGCAUUGUGAGCG
Long non-coding RNA from Rhincodon typus (whale shark), 209 nucleotides. RefSeq lists it as uncharacterized. The transcript has 3 exons. The record is from RefSeq and is a predicted model, not a curated record. NCBI's taxonomy places the organism in Eukaryota, Metazoa, Chordata, Chondrichthyes, Orectolobiformes, Rhincodontidae.